Molecule: long non-coding RNA, 220 nt
Filed under: Marmota monax (woodchuck)
Lineage: Eukaryota; Metazoa; Chordata; Mammalia; Rodentia; Sciuridae
Source: RNAcentral
GGUGACUGCUGUGGGGAUCAACUCCCAGACAGGAAUCAUUUUUACCCUCUUAGGGGUACAUGAAGAUGAAGAGGAGGUGAAAAAGAAGAAAGGUAAAAAACAAGGAGUCCCUGAAAAUCGCAACAAAGCAAAGACCCAAGAUGGAGUGGCCUUGGAAAUCCAACCACUCAACAGCCAGGAUGGGGCUGACAAUGAGGAGAAGGAGAAGAAGGUAGUCAAG